GGACUACAAGGGUUUCUAAUCCUGUUUGCUCCCCACGCUUUCGCACCUCAGCGUCAAUUCUGGUCCAGUGAGCCGCCUUCGCCACUGGUGUUCUUCCGAAUAUCUACGAAUUUCACCUCUACACUCGGAAUUCCACUCACCUCUCCCAGAUUCUAGCUAUCCAGUCUCAAGGGCAAUUCCGGGGUUGAGCCCCGGGCUUUCACCCCUGACUUAGAUAGCCGCCUACGUGCGCUUUACGCCCAGUAAUUCCGAACAACGCUAGCUCCCUCCGUAUUACCGCGGCGGCUGGCAC
Molecule: ribosomal RNA, 292 nt
Filed under: uncultured bacterium
Lineage: Bacteria
Description: partial 16S ribosomal RNA
Source: RNAcentral